Molecule: unclassified non-coding RNA, 253 nt
Filed under: uncultured Kofleriaceae bacterium
Lineage: Bacteria; Pseudomonadati; Myxococcota; Haliangiales; Kofleriaceae
Description: contains 16S-23S intergenic spacer region
Rfam family: Bacterial small subunit ribosomal RNA
Source: RNAcentral
UACGAAGGGUGCAAACGUUGCUCGGAAUCAUUGGGCGUAAAGCGCACGUAGGCGGCUUCGCAAGUCGGAUGUGAAAUCCCUCGGCUCAACCAAGGAAGUGCAUCCGAAACUGCGGGGCUUGAGUAUGGAAGAGGGUCGCGGAAUUCCCGGUGUAGAGGUGAAAUUCGUAGAUAUCGGGAGGAACACCAGUGGCGAAGGCGGCGACCUGGGCCAAUACUGACGCUGAGGUGCGAAAGCGUGGGGAGCAAACAGG